UGUUAGUCGUGCCAUGGGCUUGACCCAUGAGGGUAGCUGUGCCAUGGGCUUAGCCCAUGAAGGUUUUCCUACUUGGUGAGAUAGGUCACAUGCAUCCUUAUAGCUUUUUCUCGAGAAAAUGGGGAAGAAAUGUCUGGAUGAAGAGAAAUAGAGAGAUUUGAUUUUGGUAGGAGCUUGGAGAAGCAUACCCAAGUUAAGAGAACUUGCAGAGGUGGUCUUUGUCAGCAAGAGUUUUACAGAAGGUGUUCCUGAGAA
This 255-nucleotide long non-coding RNA is filed under the name Phoenix dactylifera (date palm). RNAcentral's name for it is "long non-coding RNA (PDAC_LNC004866)". The record is from RNAcentral. Lineage: Eukaryota; Viridiplantae; Streptophyta; Magnoliopsida; Arecales; Arecaceae.